UCGAACGAGAAAGUGGAGCAAUCCAUGAGUACAGUGGCGUACGGGUGAGUAACACGUGGAUAACCUGCCCUUUAGUGGGGAAUACCGUUGGGAAACCGACGACAAUACCGCAUAAGCUCGAGAGAGGAAAGCAGCAAUGCGCUGAAGGAAGGGUCCGCGGCCGAUUAGCUAGUUGGUAGGGUAAUGGCCUACCAAGGCUGUGAUCGGUAGCCGGCCUGAGAGGGCACACGGCCACACUGGCACUGAAACACGGGCCAGACUCCUACGGGAGGCAGCAGUGGGGAAUCUUGCACAAUGGGGGCAACCCUGAUGCAGCGACGCCGCGUGAGCGAUGAAGCCCUUCGGGGUGUAAAGCUCUUUCGGCAGGGAAGAUUAUGACGGUACCUGCAGAAGCAGCUGCGGCUAACUACGUGCCAGCAGCCGCGGUAAUACGUAGGCAGCAAGCGUUGUUCGGAGUUACUGGGCGUAAAGGGUGCGUAGGCGGUUCUGUAAGUAUGGUGUGAAAUCUCCCGGCUUAACUGGGAGGGUGCGCUAUAAACUGCGGGACUAGAGUGUGGGAGAGGAAAGUGGAAUUCCUGGUGUAGCGGUGAAAUGCGUAGAUAUCAGGAGGAACACCGGUGGUGUAAACGGCUUUCUGGACCAUAACUGACGCUGAGGCACGAAAGCGUGGGUAGCAAACAGGAUUAGAUACCCUGGUAGUCCACGCCCUAAACGAUGCAUAUUUGGUGUGGGUCAUUCAGUUGAUCCGUGCCGGAGCUAACGCGUUAAAUAUGCCGCCUGGGGAGUACAGUCGCAAGGC
This 799-nucleotide ribosomal RNA is filed under the name uncultured bacterium. RNAcentral's name for it is "bacterial SSU rRNA". It matches the Rfam family "Bacterial small subunit ribosomal RNA", at positions 62 to 894 of the family's 1533-position model. The record is from RNAcentral.